GGAAGGAGCGGAAUCGGCGAAUUUUCAACCAUCAAGAGAUGGCCACAACCUCACUGCUGGCACAAAUCAAAGAGGAAGCAGGCACAUGGAUUUCAGCAGGGGCGAGAGCCUUAGCGUUCUUCUUAUCCAGAGAGUAAUCGCGUUAGAAAAAGGAAGAUUUUUAUAACUCUUUUGUAACAAUUUGUAAUUAUCUACUAUCUCAAUGAAAUAGGCACUAUCCCG
This 222-nucleotide long non-coding RNA is filed under the name Setaria italica (foxtail millet). Its description in RNAcentral is "long non-coding RNA (SITA_LNC007197)". The record is from RNAcentral. Lineage: Eukaryota; Viridiplantae; Streptophyta; Magnoliopsida; Poales; Poaceae.